Long non-coding RNA from Zeugodacus cucurbitae (melon fly), 1224 nucleotides. RefSeq lists it as uncharacterized. The transcript has 3 exons. The record is from RefSeq and is a predicted model, not a curated record. NCBI's taxonomy places the organism in Eukaryota, Metazoa, Arthropoda, Insecta, Diptera, Tephritidae.
GUAUUUAAUAUAUUAUAUUUUUCCAAAAAAUUUAAGUAGAAAUUACCGCAUUCCACCUAAAAAUCUCUAUAUUACAUUCGUUAAACUGUAAUUAUAUUAAUAAAGCUUUUUCACACAGAAAUCCUCUCACCAUGGCACCUUCAAAAAAUAAUUUACAUUUCACUUUUUGUUCUACCUUUUAUCUGUAAAUCAAUCAGCUGUUUCCUACACCAAAAACAUGCAAUCACAUGAAUAUCUAAGAUACUGCGCCUGAAUUGCACACCUGCUGGCAGUCGCUUUGUUCCUCAGCCAAUACAGCAGAAACAGUAAAAGGAAAAUGCCAAUAGCGACAGACACCCAACGAAGUAAACGUCAACAAUAGCAACAAAGCAACGGCAAGGCCAGUACACUGCACAACGACCCAUAACAGCAGCAGUAACAACAACAGCAAUAGCAAUAGCAACAAUGGCAAUCGCACAUAACAGCGAUAAUAAUAAUAAACAACACUUCACUGCACAUGACUUUGCAAUCACAAAUAUAACACACAACUGCAUUUAGAGUGAUAUACAAAUAUAUAAACAUACCUAUGGGUAUGGAUAUAUACAUAUAUUUCUAUAAGUAGUCAAGUACAAGGAUAGAGCUUCUUAGAAGAACUGCUAAUGGAUCUUUAAUGGGAACCUCUUUUAUAGCAGCAACAACAGCGGAUGCUUUUCGGAUACCUGCUGUAUGACUAGAAAUUACUCACUGUACUGUGACUAAUACUUUACUUAAAAUAUCCCAAUAUUAAGUACAAAUUUAUUUCACUGUACCAAAAAACAUUUUUUUAUUUCGCUCGUGCCGGCGAAUGAACUUUAAGACAGCAAAUGACAGCGUAUAAAUGAAUGAUCUAAGCUUUUUCAAAAAUUUGUUGUAUAUAAAUCAAGUUCUUAAAAUUUUUUCCAACAACUGCAAAUUCCUGCGCAACAUUGCCGCGAAUAAUUAAUCAAUUUCAUUGGGUUUGUUAAGAACAGCUGUUAUUAUAUAUGUAUGUACAUGUAUCGUAUCAUAUUGUAAAAAAGAGAAAGAUAAGCAAUAAUGCUAGAAGAAUGCAAUAUUAACAUAUGUAUAAACACUAGAGACAUGCAGAUUUAGCACUUCGAUGCGCUAAGUACUUUUUGGCACAACGCCAAUGAAAUCAAAUCGUCACGUAGUCCAAGAAGUAAGAAUGUGAGUAAUUUCAAAAUUAUUUUUCAAUAAAUAAAUUGU